CCAAUAGCGUAUAUUAAAGUUGUUGCAGUUAAAAAGCUCGUAGUUGAAUUUCGAGAUCAGUACGCUGGUCGUGCCUUUGGUAUGCACUGGUGUCACUGGUUUCUCCCUUCUGAAGAACUGUCAUGCCAUUCAGUUGGUGUGGCGGGGAAUCAGGACUGUUACUUUGAAAAAAUUAGAGUGUUUAAAGCAGGCUUGCGCUUGAAUACAUUAGCAUGGAAUA
RNAcentral lists this ribosomal RNA (220 nucleotides) under uncultured Glomus. RNAcentral describes it as "partial small subunit ribosomal RNA". It matches the Rfam family "Eukaryotic small subunit ribosomal RNA", at positions 591 to 816 of the family's 1831-position model. The record is from RNAcentral. Lineage: Eukaryota; Fungi; Glomeromycota; Glomeromycetes; Glomerales; Glomeraceae.